UUAAGCGACUAAGCGUACACGGUGGAUGCCCUGGCAGUCAGAGGCGAUGAAGGACGUGCUAAUCUGCGAUAAGCGUCGGUAAGGUGAUAUGAACCGUUAUAACCGGCGAUUUCCGAAUGGGGAAACCCAGUGUGUUUCGACACACUAUCAUUAACUGAAUCCAUAGGUUAAUGAGGCGAACCGGGGGAACUGAAACAUCUAAGUACCCCGAGGAAAAGAAAUCAACCGAGAUUCCCCCAGUAGCGGCGAGCGAACGGGGAGCAGCCCAGAGCCUGAAUCAGUGUGUGUGUUAGUGGAAGCGUCUGGAAAGGCGCGCGAUACAGGGUGACAGCCCCGUACACAAAAAUGCACAUGCUGUGAGCUCGAUGAGUAGGGCGGGACACGUGGUAUCCUGUCUGAAUAUGGGGGGACCAUCCUCCAAGGCUAAAUACUCCUGACUGACCGAUAGUGAACCAGUACCGUGAGGGAAAGGCGAAAAGAACCCCGGCGAGGGGAGUGAAAAAGAACCUGAAACCGUGUACGUACAAGCAGUGGGAGCACGCUUAGGCGUGUGACUGCGUACCUUUUGUAUAAUGGGUCAGCGACUUAUAUUCUGUAGCAAGGUUAACCGAAUAGGGGAGCCGAAGGGAAACCGAGUCUUAACUGGGCGUUAAGUUGCAGGGUAUAGACCCGAAACCCGGUGAUCUAGCCAUGGGCAGGUUGAAGGUUGGGUAACACUAACUGGAGGACCGAACCGACUAAUGUUGAAAAAUUAGCGGAUGACUUGUGGCUGGGGGUGAAAGGCCAAUCAAACCGGGAGAUAGCUGGUUCUCCCCGAAAGCUAUUUAGGUAGCGCCUCGUGAAUUCAUCUCCGGGGGUAGAGCACUGUUUCGGCAAGGGGGUCAUCCCGACUUACCAACCCGAUGCAAACUGCGAAUACCGGAGAAUGUUAUCACGGGAGACACACGGCGGGUGCUAACGUCCGUCGUGAAGAGGGAAACAACCCAGACCGCCAGCUAAGGUCCCAAAGUCAUGGUUAAGUGGGAAACGAUGUGGGAAGGCCCAGACAGCCAGGAUGUUGGCUUAGAAGCAGCCAUCAUUUAAAGAAAGCGUAAUAGCUCACUGGUCGAGUCGGCCUGCGCGGAAGAUGUAACGGGGCUAAACCAUGCACCGAAGCUGCGGCAGCGACACUAUGUGUUGUUGGGUAGGGGAGCGUUCUGUAAGCCUGUGAAGGUGUGCUGUGAGGCAUGCUGGAGGUAUCAGAAGUGCGAAUGCUGACAUAAGUAACGAUAAAGCGGGUGAAAAGCCCGCUCGCCGGAAGACCAAGGGUUCCUGUCCAACGUUAAUCGGGGCAGGGUGAGUCGACCCCUAAGGCGAGGCCGAAAGGCGUAGUCGAUGGGAAACAGGUUAAUAUUCCUGUACUUGGUGUUACUGCGAAGGGGGGACGGAGAAGGCUAUGUUGGCCGGGCGACGGUUGUCCCGGUUUAAGCGUGUAGGCUGGUUUUCCAGGCAAAUCCGGAAAAUCAAGGCUGAGGCGUGAUGACGAGGCACUACGGUGCUGAAGCAACAAAUGCCCUGCUUCCAGGAAAAGCCUCUAAGCAUCAGGUAACAUCAAAUCGUACCCCAAACCGACACAGGUGGUCAGGUAGAGAAUACCAAGGCGCUUGAGAGAACUCGGGUGAAGGAACUAGGCAAAAUGGUGCCGUAACUUCGGGAGAAGGCACGCUGAUAUGUAGGUGAGGUCCCUUGCGGAUGGAGCUGAAAUCAGUCGAAGAUACCAGCUGGCUGCAACUGUUUAUUAAAAACACAGCACUGUGCAAACACGAAAGUGGACGUAUACGGUGUGACGCCUGCCCGGUGCCGGAAGGUUAAUUGAUGGGGUCAGCGCAAGCGAAGCUCUUGAUCGAAGCCCCGGUAAACGGCGGCCGUAACUAUAACGGUCCUAAGGUAGCGAAAUUCCUUGUCGGGUAAGUUCCGACCUGCACGAAUGGCGUAAUGAUGGCCAGGCUGUCUCCACCCGAGACUCAGUGAAAUUGAACUCGCUGUGAAGAUGCAGUGUACCCGCGGCAAGACGGAAAGACCCCGUGAACCUUUACUAUAGCUUGACACUGAACAUUGAGCCUUGAUGUGUAGGAUAGGUGGGAGGCUUUGAAGUGUGGACGCCAGUCUGCAUGGAGCCGACCUUGAAAUACCACCCUUUAAUGUUUGAUGUUCUAACGUUGACCCGUAAUCCGGGUUGCGGACAGUGUCUGGUGGGUAGUUUGACUGGGGCGGUCUCCUCCUAAAGAGUAACGGAGGAGCACGAAGGUUGGCUAAUCCUGGUCGGACAUCAGGAGGUUAGUGCAAUGGCAUAAGCCAGCUUGACUGCGAGCGUGACGGCGCGAGCAGGUGCGAAAGCAGGUCAUAGUGAUCCGGUGGUUCUGAAUGGAAGGGCCAUCGCUCAACGGAUAAAAGGUACUCCGGGGAUAACAGGCUGAUACCGCCCAAGAGUUCAUAUCGACGGCGGUGUUUGGCACCUCGAUGUCGGCUCAUCACAUCCUGGGGCUGAAGUAGGUCCCAAGGGUAUGGCUGUUCGCCAUUUAAAGUGGUACGCGAGCUGGGUUUAGAACGUCGUGAGACAGUUCGGUCCCUAUCUGCCGUGGGCGCUGGAGAACUGAGGGGGGCUGCUCCUAGUACGAGAGGACCGGAGUGGACGCAUCACUGGUGUUCGGGUUGUCAUGCCAAUGGCACUGCCCGGUAGCUAAAUGCGGAAGAGAUAAGUGCUGAAAGCAUCUAAGCACGAAACUUGCCCCGAGAUGAGUUCUCCCUGAC
This 2790-nucleotide ribosomal RNA is filed under the name Escherichia coli. RNAcentral describes it as "bacterial LSU rRNA". It matches the Rfam family "Bacterial large subunit ribosomal RNA". Lineage: Bacteria; Pseudomonadati; Pseudomonadota; Gammaproteobacteria; Enterobacterales; Enterobacteriaceae. The record is from RNAcentral.